RNAcentral lists this ribosomal RNA (800 nucleotides) under uncultured bacterium. RNAcentral's name for it is "bacterial SSU rRNA". It matches the Rfam family "Bacterial small subunit ribosomal RNA", at positions 201 to 1013 of the family's 1533-position model. The record is from RNAcentral.
GGAAAGUUUCGGCGGUUGGGGAUGGACUCGCGGCUUAUCAGCUUGUUGGUGGGGUAGUGGCUUACCAAGGCUUUGACGGGUAGCCGGCCUGAGAGGGUGACCGGCCACAUUGGGACUGAGAUACGGCCCAGACUCCUACGGGAGGCAGCAGUGGGGAAUAUUGCACAAUGGGCGGAAGCCUGAUGCAGCAACGCCGCGUGCGGGAUGACGGCCUUCGGGUUGUAAACCGCUUUCGCCUGUGACGAAGCGUGAGUGACGGUAAUGGGUAAAGAAGCACCGGCUAACUACGUGCCAGCAGCCGCGGUGAUACGUAGGGUGCGAGCGUUGUCCGGAUUUAUUGGGCGUAAAGGGCUCGUAGGUGGUUGAUCGCGUCGGAAGUGUAAUCUUGGGGCUUAACCCUGAGCGUGCUUUCGAUACGGGUUGACUUGAGGAAGGUAGGGGAGAAUGGAAUUCCUGGUGGAGCGGUGGAAUGCGCAGAUAUCAGGAGGAACACCAGUGGCGAAGGCGGUUCUCUGGGCCUUUCCUGACGCUGAGGAGCGAAAGCGUGGGGAGCGAACAGGCUUAGAUACCCUGGUAGUCCACGCUGUAAACGGUGGGUACUAGGUGUGGGGUCCAUUCCACGGGUUCCGUGCCGUAGCUAACGCUUUAAGUACCCCGCCUGGGGAGUACGGCCGCAAGGCUAAAACUCAAAGGAAUUGACGGGGCCCCGCACAAGCGGCGGAGCAUGCGGAUUAAUUCGAUGCAACGCGUAGAACCUUACCUGGGUUUGACAUGGAUCGGGAGCGCUCAGAGAUGGGUGU